UGCUACUAAGGCUUGAGUGUGCUUACCCAU
This 30-nucleotide non-coding RNA is filed under the name Rattus norvegicus (Norway rat). The record is from RNAcentral. Lineage: Eukaryota; Metazoa; Chordata; Mammalia; Rodentia; Muridae.